MicroRNA precursor from Arabis alpina (gray rockcress), 104 nucleotides. It matches the Rfam family "mir-156 microRNA precursor family". From Rfam's summary of the family: This family represents the plant microRNA (miRNA) precursor mir-156. Animal miRNAs are transcribed as ~70nt precursors and subsequently processed by the Dicer enzyme to give a ~22nt product. NCBI's taxonomy places the organism in Eukaryota, Viridiplantae, Streptophyta, Magnoliopsida, Brassicales, Brassicaceae. The record is from Rfam.
CUGACAGAAGAGAGUGAGCACACAAAAGCAAUUUGCAUAUGUUUAUGUCCAAGCCGAUCUCACUGCAUUUGCUUCUCUUGCGUGCUCACUGCUCUUUCUGUCAG